GACGAACGCUGGCGGCGUGCUUAACACAUGCAGGUCGAACGGAAAGGCCCUGCUUUUGUGGGGUGCUCGAGUGGCGAACGGGUGAGUAACACGUGAGUAACCUGCCCUUGACUUUGGGAUAACUUCAGGAAACUGGGGCUAAUACCGGAUAGGAGCUCCUGCUGCAUGGUGGGGGUUGGAAAGUUUCGGCGGUUGGGGAUGGACUCGCGGCUUAUCAGCUUGUUGGUGGGGUAGUGGCUUACCAAGGCUUUGACGGGUAGCCGGCCUGAGAGGGUGACCGGCAACAUGGGGACUGAGAUAGGGCCCAGACUCCGCCGGGAGGAAGCGGGGGGGAUUAUUGAAAAGGGGGCGGAAGCCGGAUGCAGCACCGCCGGGUGGGGGAUGGCGGCCUUCGGUUUGAAACCCGCUUCCGCUGGUGACGAAGGGGGAGUGGGGGAAGGGGGUAAAAAAGCCCCGGCUAACUAGGUG
Molecule: ribosomal RNA, 468 nt
Filed under: uncultured bacterium
Lineage: Bacteria
Description: partial 16S ribosomal RNA
Rfam family: Bacterial small subunit ribosomal RNA
Source: RNAcentral